Molecule: long non-coding RNA, 815 nt
Filed under: Homo sapiens (human)
Lineage: Eukaryota; Metazoa; Chordata; Mammalia; Primates; Hominidae
Description: HSALNT0230707
Source: RNAcentral
GCCCGGCCCCGCUCAGCUCUCUCCGCGGUCCCGCCGGGCCCUGCUCGCCAACCCCGUGCUGGGCUGAUUGCCGAGGUAGAUGCCACCCACGCACCCCCGCGGCUGGGGAGCGCGAGCUGGAGGAUGCGGAGAGGCCUGAGGCAGGGGGGCCAGGCGCGCGCGCCCUAGGCAGUCUCAGAGGUAGAGUCGGGUGACGGGCUAAACGCGACGCCUAGCUGGACACCCUGACAGCGGCAGCGGGCGAGCGAGGCUCCCCAGAGGGGCGGAGGCCAGGACCGAGACGUCCCCUAACUAGACCUAAGCCUUGAGGGCCGCCCCUCCCCAGGGGCCUGCUGAAGACUGAGGACGGAGGUGGGGGCAACAGGAUGGGGAGCCCGCAAUAGCCCAUCCUGACCUAAUCCGAAAGGACGAGAUCCUGGAGCCGCUCACAAAGUUUUCCGGGCCCCCUCCCACGCGUCGCCUGCACGUAUGUCCGUUUCCCGACGCUCCGCCCUCCCCCGCCAAGUUCGGCGUCUCCCAGCUCAGCGGCAGUCAGGGUGCAGAGGGAGCCCGACCUUGUCCCCGCCUCGGCCCGUCCCGCUUCUUCUGAAGCUUGUUUCAUUUUUAACUCCUUCCAGAAAAAUGUUGUUUUAAGGAAAAUCUCAAAGGAACAAAAAGCCAAUAGUGCCUUCCUUAUUUGCAAUCCCCACCCACCUCUGAGCUCGGACUGCAAGGGCCUCAAGGGACACCAGGUGACACCUGGGCCUUGCUUCUCACGGGUGACCUUGGACCAGAAAGGGUCAUUUUCAGUAAUGGGUAUGGCUGAGACUCUGCUG